This 466-nucleotide ribosomal RNA is filed under the name uncultured bacterium. RNAcentral describes it as "partial 16S ribosomal RNA". It matches the Rfam family "Bacterial small subunit ribosomal RNA", at positions 28 to 506 of the family's 1533-position model. The record is from RNAcentral.
GACGAACGCUGGCGGCGUGCUUAACACAUGCAAGUCGAACGGAAAGGCCCUGCUUUUGUGGGGUGCUCGAGUGGCGAACGGGUGAGUAACACGUGAGUAACCUGCCCUUGACUUUGGGAUAACUUCAGGAAACUGGGGCUAAUACCGGAUAGGAGCUCCUGCUGCAUGGUGGGGGUUGGAAAGUUUCGGCGGUUGGGGAUGGACUCGCGGCUUAUCAGCUUGUUGGUGGGGUAGUGGCUUACCAAGGCUUUGACGGGUAGCCGGCCUGAGAGGGUGACCGGCCACAUUGGGACUGAGAUACGGCCCAGACUCCUACGGGAGGCAGCAGUGGGGAAUAUUGCACAAUGGGCGGAAGCCUGAUGCAGCAACGCCGCGUGCGGGAUGACGGCCUUCGGGUUGUAACCGCUUUCGCCUGUGACGAAGCGUGAGUGACGGUAAUGGGUAAAGAAGCACCGGCUAACUACGU